RNAcentral lists this ribosomal RNA (225 nucleotides) under uncultured bacterium. RNAcentral's name for it is "partial 16S ribosomal RNA". It matches the Rfam family "Bacterial small subunit ribosomal RNA", at positions 118 to 345 of the family's 1533-position model. The record is from RNAcentral.
CGGGUGAUCUGCCCUGCACUUUGGGAUAAGCCUGGGAAACUGGGUCUAAUACCGAAUAUGACCAUGGGAUGCAUGUCUCGUGGUGGAAAGCUUUUGCGGUGUGGGAUGGGCCCGCGGCCUAUCAGCUAGUUGGUGAGGUAACGCUCACCAAGGCGACGACGGGUAGCUGGUCUGAGAGGAUGGCCAGCCACAUUGGGACUGAGACACGGCCCAGAUCCGUACGGG